AGGGACAAUGUCCCACAUCGAAA
This 23-nucleotide small nuclear RNA is filed under the name Arabidopsis thaliana (thale cress). RNAcentral describes it as "snRNA_15811". The record is from RNAcentral. Lineage: Eukaryota; Viridiplantae; Streptophyta; Magnoliopsida; Brassicales; Brassicaceae.